Papaver somniferum (opium poppy) is the source of this 1584-nucleotide long non-coding RNA. RefSeq lists it as uncharacterized. The transcript is spliced from 4 exons. Lineage: Eukaryota; Viridiplantae; Streptophyta; Magnoliopsida; Ranunculales; Papaveraceae. The record is from RefSeq and is a predicted model, not a curated record.
UUCAUCCAAAAAAAAUAUCGAACAUCCCGUCUCUUAACUGGAUUUCCGUUUAUAGAACUGGAUUUCCUAAUCCGUGUUUCUGGCGUCUUUGUGCACGCUCUAUAUAAGAUAAGAUGCAUUCGCCAUGUAUGACUACAGUUUGGUUGAAAUCUUCUCCAGUUGUUUGUUCCUGUUGGGUACGCAACUGAAGAGAUUGUCCAGUCGAUAUCUGAGAUUGUCAAUUCGCUCAGUAAUAUGGAACAAAGACGUGGACGUGGAUUGAACAAGCAGUGUGGUCGUGGAUAUUUUAUUUUGAUUAUACGUUUCUUUGUUCAAUUUCAAAGCUUAAGGUACUCUUUGUAACGAAUCACCAAUUCGUUUAUUAUUUGAAUGUGCUGCUUUCACUUUCACGGAUAUACCUAUUGUUUUAAAUGUUGCGUAUUUGCCAAUUUAGGGACAAAUAAAAUCAUAAUGUUUGAGAUUGUUGUGUAGUAGAUACGGAACCUUGCUGCAGUAUGGUAUUGGAAAUCCUGAAUUUGUUUUAAAUGAAUUUAAUUCCGAAAAGUAACGCGAGCAUGGAACUGAGGUAUGGAUUAGACUCUGUUGACUCAUAAUGGGGAAAGUUACCAUGUUGGGCUAUUCAAGAUCAAUCAUCAUCAUCCAAAAGUUCGAAAUGUUUUAUAUAUCAUGUUUGCUAAUGGAAAUUAGUGAUAGGAAGUACCCAUGUAACAUGUGAAGGAAUCUUAAAUACUAACUCGAGCAUAUAGGAAUGCUCUUGGAAGGGGGUUUCUUCCAAAAACAACACAAAAGGUGACUUUUAGUUGAUAUAAAUCAUGAGGACAAAGCCUGGUUAGUUUUGGGUUUUGAAAGGUGUAGAACAUUUAAACUAAAUGCUUACAGGAUGUCCAAGUCAUCGGUGAAUCAUCUUUUUGUUCAAUCUUCACAAUAGUGACUGCGUAAUGAGGAUGUUCCGCUUGAGAAGCGGAAGGCAAGAAUGAUCAAGGUGGUUACAGUACCACGGUUUCGGCUGGGGUGUUAUCAAAUUCAUCUUAUGCAAGAUGGAGUCUAAAAUGGGUCAGAUUCAGGACUUAUUGACCUCCUUUAUUGCAUGUAAGGAUUUGCGGGAGGACGUCAUGUAACUCUUUCUCUGAGGUUACAUGUUAAUACGACAUCAACGAUUGGACCUACUUCUGCGACGGACAAGUGCUCGUAAUUGGAAGAGAAUGCUUCCCUCACCUGCCAGCUUCAAGUGUUUGCUUUGUAACAUGUGUUGCCAUUCUUUUAGGAGAAUAUCCAAAUACAGCUCCUGAAAGAUAUCGGGCUAUAACAUUAUUUUGUUAGUACGUAAUUCACUACACUCCUGACGCUGCUGAUCACCCCAGGACCAAUCUGAUAUAUCAUGUAUUUGUGUAACGGAAAUUAUUAAACCAUGCGAGGAUGUACAUGCCUGAAAUCAGUCUCACGGAAUAGUUGAUCUGUGAAGGUUGAUUUUUCAAUAUAUAGGUAUGUAUUUCUGGUGUGGAUUAUGUCGUGGAUUACAUCGCGGCGCAGAAGGAAGCUAACUUUUACCUGACCACUAAACCUAGCCGUGGCUAUUGCGGGGUA